CCUACGGGAGGCAGCAGUGAGGAAUAUUGGUCAAUGGCCGUAAGGCUGAACCAGCCAAGUCGCGUGAAGGAUGACGGACCUAUGGUUUGUAAACUUCUUUUAUAGGGGAAUAAAGUUAGCCACGUGUGAAGAUUUGCAUGUACCGUAUGAAUAAGCAUCGGCUAAAUCCGUGCCAGCAGCCGCGGUAAUACGGAGGAUGCGGGCGUUAACCGGAUUUAUUGGGUUUAAAGGGAGCGUAGGUUGUAUGUUAAGUCAGCGGUGAAAUUCUGUGGCUCAACCAUAGAAUUGCCGUUGAAACUGGAAGACUUGAGUGUGUUUGAGGUAGGCGGAAUGCUUGGUGUAGCGGUGAAAUGCUUAGAUAUCACGCAGAACUCCGAUUGCGAAGGCAGCUUACUGGGCCAUAACUGACGCUGAAGCACGAAAGCGUGGGGAUCAAACAGGAUUAGAUACCCUAGUAGUC
This 460-nucleotide ribosomal RNA is filed under the name uncultured bacterium. RNAcentral's name for it is "partial 16S ribosomal RNA". It matches the Rfam family "Bacterial small subunit ribosomal RNA", at positions 338 to 795 of the family's 1533-position model. The record is from RNAcentral.